AGAGUUGAUCAGUGGCGCAGGACGAACGCUGGCGGCGUGCCUAACACAUGCAAGUCGAGCGGGGACAUGCGACGGAGUCGAAGUUUCGGAUGGAGACAAAGAUGUAUUGUUCUAGCGGCGGACGGGUGAGUAACGCGUGAGCAACCUGUCCCUUACAGGGGGAUAACACAGCGAAAGUUGUACUAAUACCGCAUAAGACCACAGAGUGACAUCGCUCAGGGGUCAAAGGAGCAAUCCGGUAAGGGGUGGGCUCGCGUCCGAUUAGAUAGUUGGUGAGGUAACGGCCCACCAAGUCGACGAUCGGUAGCCGACCUGAGAGGGUGAUCGGCCACAUUGGGACUGAGACACGGCCCAAACUCCUACGGGAGGCAGCAGUGGGGAAUAUUGGGCAAUGGGGGGAAACCCUGACCCAGCAACGCCGCGUGAGGGAAGAAGGUUUUCGGAUCGUAAACCUCUGUCCCAGGUGAAGAGGAAGAGACGGUAGCCUGGGAGGAAGCCCCGGCUAACUACGUGCCAGCCGCGGC
RNAcentral lists this ribosomal RNA (524 nucleotides) under uncultured bacterium. RNAcentral describes it as "bacterial SSU rRNA". It matches the Rfam family "Bacterial small subunit ribosomal RNA", at positions 8 to 518 of the family's 1533-position model. The record is from RNAcentral.